Molecule: ribosomal RNA, 502 nt
Filed under: uncultured bacterium
Lineage: Bacteria
Description: partial 16S ribosomal RNA
Rfam family: Bacterial small subunit ribosomal RNA
Source: RNAcentral
AUUGAACGCUGGCGGCAUGCCUUACACAUGCAAGACGAACGGCAGCACGGGUGCUUGCACCUGGUGGCGAGUGGCGAACGGGUGAGUAAUACAUCGGAACGUACCUUAUCGUGGGGGAUAACGCAGCGAAAGCUGUGCUAAUACCGCAUACGCCCUGAGGGGGGAAAGCGGGGGAUCGCAAGACCUCGCGCGAUUAGAGCGGCCGAUGCCUGAUUAGCUAGUUGGUGGGGUAAAAGCCCACCAAGGCGACGAUCAGUAGCUGGUCUGAGAGGACGAUCAGCCACACUGGGACUGAGACACGGCCCAGACUCCUACGGGAGGCAGCAGUGGGGAAUUUUGGACAAUGGGGGCAACCCUGAUCCAGCAAUGCCGCGUGAGUGAAGGAGGCCUUCGGGUUGUAAAGCUCUUUUGUCAGGGAAGAAACACCGGCUCUAACACAGUCCGGGAAUGACGGUACCUGAAGAAUAAGCACCGGCUAACUACGUGCCAGCCGCCGCAGUAA